AGAUCAGUCUUUACACAACCUAAAAUAAAAACUAAGAUAACGUGUGUCAGUGUAGGUAGUGAUGAAUGUACAACAGAAAACAAGAACAGUCAUAACACUAUCUAAAAUAUAAA
Xenia sp. Carnegie-2017 is the source of this 113-nucleotide long non-coding RNA. RefSeq lists it as uncharacterized. The transcript has 2 exons. The record is from RefSeq and is a predicted model, not a curated record. Lineage: Eukaryota; Metazoa; Cnidaria; Anthozoa; Malacalcyonacea; Xeniidae.